AAUUUGUACGUCAAACUCUACAGAUAAUUCUGUGCAGUCUAUUUUCACUCUUCUUUAAAACAGCCACAAAAUAUGCAGCUUCCUUUCCCUGAGAAAAUGGCAAAGAAAAUUAAACACAGAAGGCCAGGGAGGGUGCGUGGAAAUGGUUCACAUGUUCAAAAGUUUUAUAUGUAUAGAAGAAAGCUGUGAAGUGUGAAGUACAUUUUCUAUUGUAGAAUGGAUGAAAAUGGAAUAAAAAUAAUAUUCUUUGCUAGGCAGAAUAAAUAACUUCUUUAAACAAUUUUAUGGUAUGAAGAAAUCUGGACCAGUUUCUUAAAUGGGAUUUCUACCACAAACCUUUGAAGAAUCACGUCGUCUUAGCCCAAGGUGAAAACUACAUUGUGUAACAGAGAACAUGACCAUGAUCCACGUACACAUCCCCCGGCAAGGCAGGACACAGGCCAGCGACAGAACACUUGAGACAGGCCUACAACUGCGCAUGGUUCAGAAGCAAGUUUCAGCACACUUGCUGCUGUGAGACUCCAUUUCCGUCUAAAGAAGAUGUGGAAACAAUUUGCUCCACUGGGAAGAGGGGAAAAGGUCACAGAAAGGCAAGUUGACCAGAAGACCCCUCACAGCGUCCCCUUAUCACCACCUCCUCUGUCUCUAGGGAAGGCGUGGGGGCUGGUGGUGCAUUGGCUAGGUACAGGGGCAAUGGCCACAGCUGGGACCACUGUGGAAGCCCCCAUACUGAAGACCCACUGCCUGAUCUCAUCAUUUUACAUCACUCUGUGACCUAUGACUUUGACCCUCUCUCCUAACUGGCCUGGCCUGGUGGGAGCAGUAGCCACUUAUUUAGGUCUAAGGACUCCAGGCUCUAGGGCUUUGCAGAUGCAGGCAGAUUUGGGGCCUGAGCAGAGGCAGGAAUGAACUUGGAACACAACCCUCAGAAGUUCUGAGGUAGUCCUGGCCAUGGGGUCCAUGCAAGGACUACAUCCCACAGCUUUCUGCUUUCCACUCUGCCAUCAGUGCCCACACAUGGUUCAGGAGGUGGAGAUCAUGAGAUGGCACCUGGGUCCACGCACUCGGCUCUAGUUCUGCUCAAGGCUUGUGGUAUUGCUCAUGGAAACAGAGGAUGCUGGAAGCAAAGGGCUGGUUUUGCCGCAGAACCACAGCAUCUGUGGGCGAGUAUGGGGGUUCAGGCCAUGUCCAACCAGCUGGCCCCUGCAGCAGGACCUCCACAGCCUCCAGCCUCUGGGGACUUUAGGACCUAAUGGAGACUUUUAUUGGCACAGCUCUAAGUUGUUCAGCUCAGUCUCUUUCAGCAAUUCCCGAAUUGCAGCCUGUGUGUAAUGAAAACCACCAGCAAAAUUAAAAGCAAUGUGUCCUCUACUCAUAAUUAUUUUUUAAAAUAAAAUUUCAGAAACUAAUUAUCGAAAUUUUAUAAGCUGCAUCUGCCUCAAAUUCCAGUUAAGCCUAGUAGCCCUGCUCUGUUUUAUACAUCAACACCCAAAUUAUUUGUUGCUAUUUAAAACGUAACUUUCUACAUAUUUUUAAGGUUUUACUUGUAAUUUUUAUUACACUCAUACAUGUAAAAUUCUUAAACGGCUAAGAACAGGUACUACACUUGAUCUUAGCCAAAAGGGCAAGAAUCACUGCAUGCAAAGCUUUUAAGAGCCCAGCAUUACUGCCUGGUUUGUGGUGAAAGCAGCUUCUUUAUU
RNAcentral lists this long non-coding RNA (1700 nucleotides) under Macaca fascicularis (crab-eating macaque). RNAcentral describes it as "lncRNA (ENSMFAG00000049294.1)". Lineage: Eukaryota; Metazoa; Chordata; Mammalia; Primates; Cercopithecidae. The record is from RNAcentral.